AGAGUUUGAUCAUGGCUCAGGACGAACGCUGGCGGCGUGCUUAACACAUGCAAGUCGAACGGAAAGGCCCUUCGGGGUACUCGAGUGGCGAACGGGUGAGUAACACGUGGGUGAUCUGCCCUGCACUUUGGGAUGAGCCUGGGAAACUGGGUCUAAUACCGAAUAUGACCAUGCGCCUCCUGGUGUGUGGUGGAAAGCUUUUGCGGUGUGGGAUGGGCCCGCGGCCUAUCAGCUUGUUGGUGGGGUAAUGGCCUACCAAGGCGACGACGGGUAGCCGGCCUGAGAGGGUGACCGGCCACACUGGGACUGAGAUACGGCCCAGACUCCUACGGGAGGCAGCAGUGGGGAAUAUUGCGCAAUGGGCGCAAGCCUGAUGCAGCGACGCCGCGUGAGGGAUGACGGCCUUCGGGUUGUAAACCUCUUUCAGCACAGACGAAGCGCAAGUGACGGUAUGUGCAGAAGAAGGACCGGCCAACUACGUGCCAGCAGCCGCGGUAAUACGUAGGGUCCGAGCGUUGUCCGGAAUUACUGGGCGUAAAGAGCUCGUAGGUGGUUUGUCGCGUUGUUCGUGAAAACUCACAGCUUAACUGUGGGCGUGCGGGCGAUACGGGCAGACUUGAGUACUGCAGGGGAGACUGGAAUUCCUGGUGUAGCGGUGGAAUGCGCAGAUAUCAGGAGGAACACCGGUGGCGAAGGCGGGUCUCUGGGCAGUAACUGACGCUGAGGAGCGAAAGCGUGGGGAGCGAACAGGAUUAGAUACCCUGGUAGUCC
Molecule: ribosomal RNA, 771 nt
Filed under: uncultured bacterium
Lineage: Bacteria
Description: bacterial SSU rRNA
Rfam family: Bacterial small subunit ribosomal RNA
Source: RNAcentral